Molecule: non-coding RNA, 22 nt
Filed under: Arabidopsis thaliana (thale cress)
Lineage: Eukaryota; Viridiplantae; Streptophyta; Magnoliopsida; Brassicales; Brassicaceae
Source: RNAcentral
AGUUGGUGAGAAUGUACCUCCA